RNAcentral lists this ribosomal RNA (495 nucleotides) under uncultured bacterium. RNAcentral describes it as "partial 16S ribosomal RNA". It matches the Rfam family "Bacterial small subunit ribosomal RNA", at positions 28 to 507 of the family's 1533-position model. The record is from RNAcentral.
GACGAACGCUGGCGGCGUGCCUAAUACAUGCAAGUAGAACGCUGAAGGAGGAGCUUGCUUCUCCGGAUGAGUUGCGAACGGGUGAGUAACGCGUAGGUAACCUGCCUGGUAGCGGGGGAUAACUAUUGGAAACGAUAGCUAAUACCGCAUAACAGUAGAUGUUGCAUGACAUUUGCUUAAAAGGUGCAAUUGCAUCACUACCAGAUGGACCUGCGUUGUAUUAGCUAGUUGGUGAGGUAACGGCUCACCAAGGCGACGAUACAUAGCCGACCUGAGAGGGUGAUCGGCCACACUGGGACUGCGACACGGCCCAGACUCCUACGGGAGGCAGCAGUAGGGAAUCUUCGGCAAUGGACGGAAGUCUGACCGAGCAACGCCGCGUGAGUGAAGAAGGUUUUCGGAUCGUAAAGCUCUGUUGUAAGAGAAGAACGAGUGUGAGAGUGGAAAGUUCACACUGUGACGGUAUCUUACCAGAAAGGGACGGCUAACUACGUG